Non-coding RNA from Zonotrichia albicollis (white-throated sparrow), 1601 nucleotides. NCBI's taxonomy places the organism in Eukaryota, Metazoa, Chordata, Aves, Passeriformes, Passerellidae. The record is from RefSeq and is a predicted model, not a curated record.
AUUCUUGAUGAUGCAAUAUAAAAAAGUCCAUGAUGAUGCAGUGAUCAAUGAAGGUGAUACUAAUGCCAGCAGAGGGAUUGCUGUUUGUAAAGUAGACUGGUAUGUAUCCACCUAGGAUUUCACCAGCAUCUAAUACCACUAUUUAUAGGCUAUCUGAAUUUGGAAAGGCAGCUCAUGUGUACUCUGUGUAAUAUACUAUAACUACACUGUAUCAAGCACAUAAACACUUGCUUUCUUAAGUAUAUCUCUGUACUGUGCUUUUUAUCUUCCAGACACUGCAUACUUAUACCUAAUCAUUUCUAUUUUCAGGGAAGCACUUGCUAAAAUUUUAAACUUCCUUUAUCAAAAUCCUUUAAUAAGCCAGAAAAAGACUUUUAGCCACCAUGUGAACAUUUAAGUCACUAUUUUAGAUGUAGUUAGGUUUUGUUUAUGAAAUGCCAUUGACCUAUGUUUAAUCAAUUUUUAAACCUUCAAGAUCUGCUCAGCAGCCACCUCUAAUUCAGAAGAAAACUGGAGUGAACCAUAUUUUUCAUCCAUUUUCAGUAUCAUUCAGCUGCCUGAAUGCACUGUUAGGCAUGAAUUUUUUGAUUUAAAUGAAAAAACAUGUUGACAAGUCUAUCAGAUUCUGAAUAUAGCAAGAACAGAAUAAUGUUACUCCUAAGGGAGGAAAGAAAUAGAUCCUUAAAUCCCCUAAAGGAAGCUCCUUCAUAUAGCAGGUACAAAAUAACACUAAAAGAAGUGCACAAAUGCUGACAAAAUCUAUGAGCAAAAAAAACCCCAAAACCUCUAUAUUUUCCCAAAUUUAAGCAAACUUGCAGUAAUAUUUUUUCUGUCUUACCAAUGCCUUAUUUUGGUGUUUGUCUCUCUGUUCCUUUCUAAGAGAAUUGUCCAUUGACCUGCUGCUGCGUGCAGGAAAUGGGAACUCAGGAAAAGGUGUGAAUGAACAGGAGAAAUGGAAUGAGCAAAGAUGAACACAUGUAGUAGAAAAUCUGCAGCUGGCUGGGCAGCAGGAGUUUCAUGUGAGCAAACAAAAAAUGCAGACAUAGAAGCUGAAAUAAGUAGCACUGAGUGAAUUUUAACUCUGCAAUUGAUUACUUUAUGGAACAGAAGAUCAAUAUCCUGCAAGUAUAGAAGCCAGAUAGGGAGUUUCUUAAUGGAGAUAAACACCAACAUUCACUACGCAUUUGACUUAAAUCUAGAGAUGGGUGGAGAAGAAGAGACAGGAAGAUCACAGUGGGACACCUCCAGCAAAUGUCCUCCUGAGGCAUUGUGCCCUGAUGGGAGGCGGCUGCAUGCAGACGGCAGGGAGGUACCUCCAGACAAUGGGCACAGGGAUCCAUCCCCGGAGAACUGGAUAUACAAGCACCAACUAGCGGAGACCCUGCCUAUUACCUAUUGCUGGCAUAGACAGGGAGACAGAGCUGACGAGGAUGCCUACGGCAAUGUAAUGAAGUCCUAUUCUCAGACAUCAGUAAUGGGCAAACUUCAUAUGUAAUUUUCCAACUAUAUUUUAAAGCCCAUUUGGUGACAGUGAAAUUCCUCAAAUCAAUGAACUUCUAUAAAAACUACAGAAAAGUUCUCCCAGUAAAAUCUUCUCACCU